This 253-nucleotide ribosomal RNA is filed under the name uncultured bacterium. RNAcentral describes it as "partial 16S ribosomal RNA". It matches the Rfam family "Bacterial small subunit ribosomal RNA", at positions 524 to 776 of the family's 1533-position model. The record is from RNAcentral.
UACGAAGGGGGCUAGCGUUGCUCGGAUUUACUGGGCGUAAAGCGCACGUAGGCGGGUCGUUAAGUCAGGGGUGAAAUCCCGGAGCUCAACUCCGGAACUGCCUUUGAUACUGGCGACCUUGAGGCUGGAAGAGGUUAGUGGAAUUCCCAGUGUAGAGGUGAAAUUCGUAGAUAUUGGGAAGAACACCAGUGGCGAAGGCGGCUAACUGGUCCAGAUCUGACGCUGAGGUGCGAAAGCGUGGGGAGCAAACAGG